RNAcentral lists this ribosomal RNA (252 nucleotides) under uncultured bacterium. RNAcentral describes it as "partial 16S ribosomal RNA". It matches the Rfam family "Bacterial small subunit ribosomal RNA", at positions 524 to 776 of the family's 1533-position model. The record is from RNAcentral.
UACGGAGGAUGCGAGCGUUAUCCGGAUUUAUUGGGUUUAAAGGGUGCGUAGGCGAGAUGCCAAGUCAGCGGUAAAAAUGCGGUGCUCAACGCCGUCGAGCCGUUGAAACUGGCGUUCUUGAGUGGGCGAGAAGUAUGCGGAAUGCGUGGUGUAGCGGUGAAAUGCAUAGAUAUCACGCAGAACUCCGAUUGCGAAGGCAGCAUACCGGCGCCCUACUGACGCUGAGGCACGAAAGCGUGGGUAUCGAACAGG